This 103-nucleotide small RNA is filed under the name Escherichia coli. RNAcentral's name for it is "partial RtT sRNA". It matches the Rfam family "RtT RNA", at positions 30 to 130 of the family's 130-position model. Rfam says of the family: This family represents a bacterial cis-regulatory element known as RtT RNA. RNAcentral also lists the same sequence under 2 other names. Lineage: Bacteria; Pseudomonadati; Pseudomonadota; Gammaproteobacteria; Enterobacterales; Enterobacteriaceae. The record is from RNAcentral.
CUUCGACCAAGGUUCGACUUGAGCGCCAGCGAGAGAGCGUUGCCGCAGGCAACGACCCGAAGGGCGAAGCGCGCAGCGCUGAGUAAUCCUUCCCCCACCACCA